Molecule: long non-coding RNA, 264 nt
Organism: Mauremys reevesii (Reeves's turtle)
Lineage: Eukaryota; Metazoa; Chordata; Testudines; Geoemydidae
Exons: 3
Source: RefSeq, a predicted model, not a curated record
GCCAACAAGGCAAGACGGUGUGCUGGUCAUGGAGCGAUGAGGAGAGAACAAUCCUAGAUAUGUUGGCAGCGCUUAAAGUGAGGUGGGAAUGAAGGGGUCGCCUGGGGUCACAGAUGAGGCAAGAAACACUUUAACCCUGCAGUGUUGUGGAGGAAGAGCAGGGAAUUUCAUGUUAAAGGAGGACCCGGCCCAGCUGUCUGCAUACUUCCUUAAGGAUGUUUGAGAUCUUCCUUAGCAUUAAGUAUUUAUUAAAAAUUUUACACC